GAUGAACACAAAUGAGGAUUGGCAAAAGCGAUCAAAAUUUAAACAUCCAUCUAACAAAUUCAAAAUUAAAAAAUACGUUUUUCGGUAGAAUCUUUCGGCUGAAUUUGAGAAACAAAAUUUAAUAAAUUUAGUAAAAAUUUUGUAACGCGGCGAGAUGGGCAAGGGAGACAAAAAAGAGGAGAAAACAGCCGGUGAUAAAAAAUCAUCUGGAAAAGGGAGCAAAGGACCUGCUCGAAAGGGUGGUGUUUUCAUGGGCGGUACAAUAGGAAUAACUACCAGGCCGGAUAGAAACAAUUAUUACAAUGUUGUUGUGUCACGCAACGGCAGCUCAGGCCAUUCUCAGUCUUGCAAAUCAUCAGCCCCUUCUGCAGGGAUUUCACCGAUAAUUAUUUGCCCACCGAAUAAUUAUCCACCACCGAGUUGUCCAACGCAGCCGAGACGAAGAUGCUGUUAAUUUAAUGUAACAAACUCUCCCACCUCCAUCUUGCCUCCUUGAAAAUUUGAUGACAUCAUUUUAAAUAAACAAGAUAUAAUGAUCACGACGAAUACCGAUUUUUGAUAAGGUGUAUAUAUUUAUUGUUUUAAUCUGAAACAAAGAAAAGUCAGUCGAUUACAUGCGGCUAAAAAAUUGUGAUGCGAAAAUGGGUUAAGAAAUCUUGGAAAUAAAUUCAAUCAUUCCAUAUCAUUCUGCCAUAUCAUUUGAUAAAUAUAAAUUUGAAUAAAAAAGAAGUAUGGGGAGAAGUAGGCGCUGCAGAAAAGUAAAACGGUCUUGUUCAAAGCAUCGCGGAUUUUUCUCCAGUAUUUUAGGAUUUUUUUACAGAUCGAGAAGAUGUUCGAG
Molecule: unclassified non-coding RNA, 838 nt
Filed under: Athalia rosae (coleseed sawfly)
Lineage: Eukaryota; Metazoa; Arthropoda; Insecta; Hymenoptera; Athaliidae
Description: misc RNA ENSAEAG00005002730.1
Source: RNAcentral